GUUUUUCCCUCAUAAUUUUUAAACUAUGUGACCUGAUUAGGGACCAUAUGGGGGUCAGAGUUUUCCUGGUUAGGUUAACAGAUAAGGAGAAACUCCAGGCCCCAGGGGGUAAAAAUUUCCCCCCAACUGGUUUCCACCAGCCUGCUAGCCGUUGUCAGUUAUCGUCAGGUAUGUGGAUGAUCAGGGCUUUAUUCAGGAACGUUUCUUGGGCGAGAUGCGCAGUCUUUGUUUAACUUCAUGGACAAACUUGUUCAAACUUACAUCGGCGCAGCUGUAAUGGAAUGUAUCUGCUAUUUGUAUUUCCAUCUAAGUCCCCUCCUGUUCCCUGAUUUAAGAAGUGAACACUCCUCUCCACUACGAUUGUCAACUCUCUCCUGACAUGAACUGAAGCCACGUCUCAUGUUCCCGCUCAUCCACUGUUACAUUUAAUGUUUCCUCUCCAAACACUUCAAAUUCUGUCCUGCACUGAAGUCAAGCCUCCACUGGUCUCUGCCCUUGAAUGUCUGCAUUGGACAUCACUUGGCCUUCAUGGAGCAGCCAUGUACCACCACCCUCUCAAUAUAUCAGUAGUCAAAUGCAGGCUAUACCACGCCAGAGUUCUAUCCAAAUAUAAAGAUGGCAAGCUUAGUUCGGCAACUUUUGAUCUCCUUACAUGAGAUUUUAACUAGUCAGACAUUAUUAUGAGGUACAUAUAAUGUAACCUACCUUUGUGAUGUCAUAUGGGAGAAAAAUACAGUUUAACUUUCUUCAGCUGUUUAAUUUUCCCAUUGAGACCAAGGUGUCUUCUGCAAGGGAGCCCUGCAUCUUAUAAUUAAACAACAAAUUACACAUAGAAAAUACACCAGAAAAUAAAAAUACAGAGAUUACAAAAAAGAAAAGAAAACACACAUGAAAAACAAUCACAUUCCUCAGCAAAAAGGUCCUCAAUCAGCACUCUGAACUGCCCGAAAGGCACCCAUGCAUCCAUUUGUAGGGAACUCUGAAGAAACUAAAAGCUGUUUUUCCUAAUUCUGUAGCAACAGGGAAUUUCCAGUUAUCUAUCCCUGUGAUGGGUAUGGUAACUCGUACAUAUAUGGUGAAACGAGGCUACUCAGACGAGAAAAAACAACAUCAUUCAGUCGACGUUCCUUCAUGUCCUAGAAUAUGGCGACAUCAUCUACAUCGGAUAUUCCCCGCCGGGGUUCGCCAAAUAAAAAUGUGAUUCACAUUUUAAAGCAGUCCAUUUAGAUUUUCCAACGGGGCAAUACAUUUCAGUGAACUGCAUUCUACUAUUGAGAGGCUUAACCUAGUGCCUUCAGAAAGUAUUUACUUGACUUUUUCCACAUUUUGUUGUGUUACAGCCUGAAUUUAAAAUUGAUUAAAUUGAGAUUGUGUCACUGAUCUACACAUGUCAAAGUGGAAUUUUGUUUGUAAUAAAAAAUGAGAAGUUGAAAUGUCUUGAGUCAAUAAG
Molecule: long non-coding RNA, 1450 nt
Filed under: Salmo salar (Atlantic salmon)
Lineage: Eukaryota; Metazoa; Chordata; Actinopteri; Salmoniformes; Salmonidae
Description: lncRNA (ENSSSAG00000091648.1, ENSSSAG00000099192.1)
Source: RNAcentral